GGGAAUAUAGCUCAGUUGUAGAGUGCUUGCCUACCAGGUAUGAGGCCCUGGGUUCAAUCCUCAGUACUGCAA
RNAcentral lists this transfer RNA (72 nucleotides) under Heterocephalus glaber (naked mole-rat). It matches the Rfam family "tRNA". From Rfam's summary of the family: Transfer RNA (tRNA) molecules are approximately 80 nucleotides in length. The record is from Rfam by way of RNAcentral. Lineage: Eukaryota; Metazoa; Chordata; Mammalia; Rodentia; Bathyergidae.